GCAGCGACGCAGCGUGCGGGAUGACGGCCUUCGGGUUGUAAACCGCUUUCAGCAGGGAAGAAGCGCAAGUGACGGUACCUGCAGAAGAAGUACCGGCUAACUACSUGCCAGCAGCCGCGGUAAUACGUAGGGUACGAGCGUUGUCCGGAAUUAUUGGGCGUAAAGAGCUCGUAGGUGGUUGGUCACGUCUGCUGUGGAAACGCAACGCUUAACGUUGCGCGUGCAGUGGGUACGGGCUGACUAGAGUGCAGUAGGGGAGUCUGGAAUUCCUGGUGUAGCGGUGAAAUGCGCAGAUAUCAGGAGGAACACCGGUGGCGAAGGCGGGACUCUGGGCUGUAACUGACACUGAGGAGCGAAAGCAUGGGGAGCGAACAGGAUUAGAUACCCUGGUAGUCCAUGCCGUAAACGUUGGGCACUAGGUGUGGGGGGCAUUCCACGUUCUCCGCGCCGUAGCUAACGCAUUAAGUGCCCCGCCUGGGGGAGUACGG
RNAcentral lists this ribosomal RNA (488 nucleotides) under Brevibacterium sp. CMT513. Its description in RNAcentral is "bacterial SSU rRNA". It matches the Rfam family "Bacterial small subunit ribosomal RNA", at positions 388 to 885 of the family's 1533-position model. Lineage: Bacteria; Bacillati; Actinomycetota; Actinomycetes; Micrococcales; Brevibacteriaceae. The record is from RNAcentral.